GUGAGGAAUAUUGGUCAAUGGUCGCAAGACUGAACCAGCCAUGCCGCGUGCAGGAAGACGGUCCUAUGGAUUGUAAACUGCUUUUAUACAGGAAGAAACCCUCCCACGUGUGGGAGCUUGACGGUACUGUAGGAAUAAGGAUCGGCUAACUCCGUGCCAGCAGCCGCGGUAAUACGGAGGGUGCAAGCGUUAUCCGGAUUUAUUGGGUUUAAAGGGUGCGUAGGCUGGAAGGUCAGUCAGCGGUGAAAAGCUGUCGCUUAACGAUAGUCUUGCCGCAGAUACUUCCUUUCUUGGAUGAGGAGGAGGCCACUGGAACGGAUGGUGUAGCGGUGAAAUGCAUAGAUAUCAUCCAGAACACCGAUUGCGAAGGCAGGUGGCUGUACCUUAAUCGACGCUGAUGCACGAAAGCAUGGGGAGCAAACAGGAUUAGAUACCCCUGUAGUCC
This 445-nucleotide ribosomal RNA is filed under the name uncultured bacterium. Its description in RNAcentral is "partial 16S ribosomal RNA". It matches the Rfam family "Bacterial small subunit ribosomal RNA", at positions 354 to 796 of the family's 1533-position model. The record is from RNAcentral.